This is a non-coding RNA of Coturnix japonica (Japanese quail), 5863 nucleotides long. The record is from RefSeq and is a predicted model, not a curated record. NCBI's taxonomy places the organism in Eukaryota, Metazoa, Chordata, Aves, Galliformes, Phasianidae.
GAGACAAAACCACGUGGAAGCAAAGCUGCGUUCUGGGCGAUCAGCCCCGGCCUGCGUUGCUGCACGCUCUCCUGCAAAGCUCGAGCUGUUUGCACGGUGGUUGCCACGUGUCCGCCCGUUCGUUGCUGCAGCUGCUCGUGAUGCCGGGGUACCCGCGUGCCGGCACCGUCGUCCCCGGCGUGGCUGAAGGGCAAGCUGCCUCCUUGCUUUAAUGUUUUCUUCCACUCAUUUGGAAAGGAUCGGAGAGAAAACCCCGCUGGUGUUGCAGGGGGUGGCGCGCCGCAUUGGUCGCUUCCGAAGCGGGGCUGAUGUUACGUGGUGUCGCUGGGUGCGCAGAGCUGCUUUUGCCUACCACCUCUAGAACGGAAGACAGGAAAUCAAGUGACAUCUAUGCUAACUGUAGCAGUUUUCAACACAAGGAUUCUGUUGUGCUUGAAGCCUUAUCCUUUCUCGGUGAUGUAAAGUCUCUGCGGAGCGUACUGAGAAGAGCAUCUUAAAGCUAUGUCUGAUGUUAGGCCACUGCAUGCCACCCUUGAGCACUGAGAAGGUAUACACACAUCCAUGGUACUCAAACAGGAAGAAAGAAUUUAAUGAUGCACCUUUGCUGCAGAUGCCAUUGUGUCAGACUGCCCCUCUGCUGCCAUAUGCCACAUGGCAACAAAAUGCAAGGGAAUACUGCUGAGAAGGUUUAACUUUCUACUUCCACACCACCAAUAUCCACCUCUGAUGGUCUUGCCAAAGUAAGGAAGAGCAUCAAUAAAAAUCAGAUUUGCAGAUCCUGUCUCACUGACAUAAGGACGUGGCAGCCAGUGGAAAACAACACAAAACAUUUCUUCAUAACAUGCAUGAAUGUCAGGUAGGGAUACAACUGAUUGAUCUCCUCUAAACUGUGUGUAUACAUAGAUAUAUAUACAUAAAUAUAUACAAAUAUGUAUAAAUAAAUAUAUAGAUAGAUAUAAAUAUAUAUUUUUGGAAUUUAAGUUUUAGAUUUUGAGCACAGAUUUACAUAUCAGCUGCUCGCAAUCUCCCAAGUCCUAUCUACUUCCAAGUCCUAUCUAGACUUCCAUUUUUAAUGCAGGUGAAAAUGAAUACUUAGAAUUGAGUAUUGAACAUAGAACUUAGUGUUGGAUUUCUAAAUAUAAAACUAUUUUGGAAACAAGUUCAGCUAUUAAAAAUGUAUCUGCAUUAAAACUGCUGGGUUUAAAUGUGUAAAUACACACUGAGAAGCAAAGUUUUUGUUACAGUAAUACUAAUCAAAGAAUAACAGACUUUUUUUCACUUCUUUUAAGAAGAGCACAAAGUCUGUAUUUUAUUGUGGAAAGAUGACUUGCUAAGCAUGUAAGGUAAGAAUGCUUAUGCUGUGCUUCUAAUUUUUAUCCUUUUUAUUUAUGAGGCUUUUAUGCAUAUUUUUAAAGUUUUCAGUUAUGCUGCUAUUAAAAAAAAUAAAAUCAAGUGAUUUAAUCACUGUUAAUGUGGUUGAAUUGCAAGAUACAGUCUCUUAAAAGUAGCAGAUUAAUCAGUCUUAGUGUAAAUACCUCAAUCAGAAUAAGUAGUCUGUUAAGAAUGAAACCCUGACCACUGAAGACUGGAAUUUCUCUUUGUCAGGUUCCGGGUUUAACAGCAGUUACCUUGUUUUCUGAACUGAGGAUAUUUACAUUCUCAGCUUUUCUACACACAAAAUAGUGAUAAGUUCAUCUUUCUUACUAGAAACAAUAAGAUCUUGGUGUAACAGUUACACAAGAAGAAGAUGGUGUUUGAGAAAGCACAGGUAAAAGUCAAAGAUUGGACAUACUUGAUUAAUUACCAUUUUUCUUCAUGUAGCUGCUAAAUGACUUAUAAAUCUAUCAUGGAGUCAAGACCUCAUACACGAUACAUUAAUAUAAAAUAAGCCAGAGACUUUCCAUUGUGAAUUUUCUUUCCCUUUAGUAAGAACGAUUUUCUCUGCCUUAAUAAGCCUGUUUUCUGUUCAACUUUCCUUUACUGUGCUGUCCCCUUGGAACAGCAAAAAUUUCAUCCAGAUUCAUGCAACUCGGUUGAGGAAAUCUGCUUCAUGGUGUGGGUGGGUGGCUAAACCAGGGUUGUUUAUUUAUCUGUGAGCUGAAAUUUCUUUUAAAAAAUGUGUUUAUUCCAUUGGUUAUCUGUGUCUAUCUGUCUAUCAUUAACAGCAGUCCCUCAGGUAUAUCUGGAGUUUGUUCUGCUUUUUACCCAUUUUUUAGGCGGGGAAAUAUACUCCAAUCAAGAAAAGCACUUUUAUUACUUGAAUUUGCUUCAAACUGGACUCACGUCCCAUAAUUAGACCAGAUCCUGUGUCCAAUGUACAUGAUAAACAACUUACUUACGUAAGUACUGGAAGACUGUUUCCUUUAAAGGCUGUAACAGAACAUAUGCUUGGGGGCAGUUAGCUGAAUCCCUUGAUUUUGCCAGUUGUGAUAUUUAAAAAAGCUACCUGUUCCGUGGUGUACAUUAGCAAUAUGUAACAUACUGCUACAUCCUUACUUUGGAAAAAAACAAAACAAAACAUGCUUCUAGUUAGUUGGAUGCAUUUUUAGGUAGCAACAGUAAUGGAGCUGUCCCUAGAUAAUUGAAAAGCAUAUCCUCUUCCAUGACUCCAAAGGCCAGGGGAGUUUCAUGUACACACUUAGUUGCAAGUAUAUAUUAAGCACAUGCAGUGGAGGAUAUAGUGUCAUUAAAAAAAAAAAUAAAAAUAAAAAAAAAAGACUUUUUUGGCAGCUCUCAGUGAAAUAAAAUUAGUGUUUUUUUACUGUUAGAUUCCAAAUGCUAAGUGACAAUAUUAUGCAUGGGCUAAGGUACUGCACCAUGUAGCUCUCCACCAUGAGUUGGUUAAACAAACUGAAGUAUCAGUUCCCCAUGAUGUGGAAAAAAGUAAUAGUAAAGAGAAGCAAACUGGCUCAACAAGGAGCUGUUUUAUCAGAACACAGCCUUGGACUUACCGAAGGUCACUCAGCAGUACACGCAGGACAGCAUUACCAUAGUCAGUGGAACAAACUGCCCACCCACAAUAAAUGAAGUGCACUAUUUCACUAGCCAGUAUCUCAGGAGACUGCCAACUUGUUGCUAAGCGCUCUGCACCCAUUCUUAAUUCCCACAGGGAGACAUUCUGCCCAUCUUAACUUCUUUAUUUUUAGGAGAAAGAAACAAACCACACAAAAGCCCUAAGAGCAACUGCAGUGCAUUGCUACUCAUCUCUUCCUUUGCCAAAGAAGCAGUUCUUGCUGUAUAGCUUCUCUCUUGCAGCAACAGAAAACCUCCAACUGUAAGAAAGGUAUUGAGCAACCUGCCAUUUGCCACAGACCUGGAGCCUUAAUGGAUGCGACUUUCCUGGCACAUAGUUGUCCAAGGAUACCUUCUACUUUGCAGCAUGCUAGUGUAUGAUUCUAACUCAUUGCAUUAUUACCAUCAAAGCUGAAAUGUUCAUAGAAAUAUCUUGCGUGCAAUUUCUGAUGUAACUAGCAUGGUAACUCAGUGAGGGAGACACAUUUAAAUUAAAUUGAACUUAUAAGCUAGAAGUCAGAAACAUUAAAGCAUCUGCAUUUGACACAGAAGUAGACUUACGUAAGUGGUUAAGUUAGUCAGUCACGUUUUUGAGAGGACAAGAAAAAAAUUCAAAGAUAAAGAAGAUGUUUGCAGAAAAAUCAGCGAAGCAGCCUCCAAUGUACAGGUAUGGCUGGCUAAUACAAGAGAAAUUCUUUCUUUGCUACUUUGCAAAUUGUGUGAUAAUGCACCACUGAGAUUUGUUUUUUCUUCUUGUUAGGGUCAAAAGAGACCCUCUCUUGCCAAACACAGCAUUUCAAGAUGAAACACAAGUAGAUACUGAUUGUAAGUAACACAAAAAACACUUAUGUGCUUGUUGGGAGUCACAGAGGGAGAUGAUCACGUAAGUUAAUUUAAUGGUGUGAUACACAGUUCUUUCCUUUUUUUAACUCGCUGUUGAAACGAGUAUGCUCUCAGCAUUCUGGGCCUAUCGAUGCACAGUGCUUGUUAAAAAAAAGUAUCAGAUUAUUUAUACAAAUGCAAUUACUGUCCAUGUACGUACCACAAAUGUUACCCCAUUAUUUUGUGCCUGAAGAGACAUAAAUUUGAAUUUAAUUAACAGAAAGUAUUGUAUAUUUAUUUCCUGCUUAAUCACACCUUGUGAAAACUUAAGAGAAUCCUUACCAUCUUCACUUGUGGAGUAUACAAACUGACACCCUGAUAGAUUUAUUAAAAAAAUACUCAAAAGUAUUUUAUGUGAGCAUGAAAGACCAAACACAACCCAGGAAUGUUUAAUGGAUAAAAAAGCAGAACUGAAUGAACAGCUCUUCAAUUUUUGUGUAUGUACUCCUUGCCCGCAGGACUUCGACCAUCUACUGAGCCGCUGUUGGGUAUGAAUGUCCUGGAGAGGCUGCUGUCUACAGAACUGAAAGUGGUAAGACUAUUUCCUUAUGUGUCUUGCAGGAAGGUUAUACCAAUAAAAUCCAAGUUAAUCUCAGGAGGUAGAGGUUAAAAAGUCAAUCAGAGAAUUUAAAAUGGCUGUUUUACGUCUACAAUGCUGUAAGUUGGUAUUCCAUGUCAUAACAUCACGCUAAACUGUCAGAGCUGAGAUGGCUGCUGGGAAGCUGCACUUCUUCCCACAUGGUUUCCAGGAGUAAAGGAGGUGACAUACCUAUGACCUUACUUCCAGCGGUACCGCCAUUUCCGCAGCAUGGUUAGAAGGCAGUUCUCUCUCCCUUGGCUUGUCUGUGGUCCUGCACAACCACUACUAUUAAUUAGCCAAACUACAUGCAUCCUCUGUACGAGGUACAAAGACUGUCCUAAGUCACCAUUUCUGCAUCUGCAGGAGCAGAUCUUGCUGGCAAUUUACAGCUGUCUUCUGUAUAUCUGAUUCUGACACUGACAUUUAGAAAAGACAGGCAUGAAGUGGUAUAGUAUCCACAAUGCACAUUAUAAAAUCAACAUCAGUUACUAAGCCUGGAGAAGUAGCAAAAUCAGAAUUAUCAAUAUCAAAAUGCUGACAAAUAAACCAGCCAUGAUAGGCUGCAGAACAGCAAUUGAAGAAAAUAAAAUUCAUCUUUCAGAAGUAGCUCAAUUAGUAGAAUCAUAUUCUAGAAUUUAAAUUAAUACUGUUCUUGCAUUGUUUGGGGUUUUUUUUUACUAAUGCUUUCAUUGUUGCAAAAUCAAACAAACAGCAGGAGAUAAAAGUAACACACUUUGCAGUAAAAAAUAAUGUACUCAUCAAAAAUUUAUGUUUUGUGCUAUAAAUGCACCUAGCACAUCUGCUGUGUCGCUGUGACAGAUGUUUAUUAAUAUGGAUCUUCAAUCAUAUUCCUUGAUUGCUAAUGAUUCAGUAAUUCAUCUUCUAAAUACUGUCCAAGUUUUUGAUUAUAUGUUGAACCAAUUACCAAAAUAUUUCCAUAUAAUCUGCGCAUCUCCACAGCCUCAGAAAUGCACUAUUAAUUUUCAGUUUUGUAUCAAAAUCAAUGUCAAGUUCCAUCACAGCAAUUCCUACAAGGAGUGCUGUUUAUAUGCAUGCUGUAUGAAAAGACUUGAACAAACAACUUCUAAAAGAUAAAAAUGUGUUCUGUUAUGGGAGUGAUCUCUUGAGCGAAUAUGUUCUGUGGUAAGGCUGGUGACCACCGAACAGAUAACUGAGCUCAGUUCUUUCAGUUGUCCUCAGGAAGACCAAUUCCUAAAUAUCACUUCCUCAUGCUCUAGCAAAACUGACCUUUGUAUGCCUUGCUACGUGCAACUUGAGGACUACGCUUGAAUUCCAUUGAAAAAGCACCCAGCUUCAAAGCACCAUGUAAAGUAAUCUCAGAUUUUCAGAAUAAAUGCACAAUGAAUAAAAAGCUUCAGAAACAGACUA